This 74-nucleotide microRNA precursor is filed under the name Sorex araneus (European shrew). RNAcentral describes it as "miRNA (ENSSARG00000019217.1)". Lineage: Eukaryota; Metazoa; Chordata; Mammalia; Eulipotyphla; Soricidae. The record is from RNAcentral.
UCACUGGGGAUCUUGUUAAAAUUCAGGUUCAGGCUCUUCAGACCUGAGAUUCUGCAUUUCUAAUAAGUUUCCAG